This is a non-coding RNA of Paramuricea clavata, 1468 nucleotides long. The record is from the annotation of a GenBank genome assembly. NCBI's taxonomy places the organism in Eukaryota, Metazoa, Cnidaria, Anthozoa, Malacalcyonacea, Plexauridae.
CUCCUUUUAUUCUAAAAUCUUAUUUUAAAUAUUCUGGCUUUAAAAUUGGCUCAUUGAAUUCGAAACGAUCAGUGACUUUUCUGCGGCCUUACCAAACUUUUCGCCAUUUUUACGUGUUUGGCGCCAAGGACACCCACCGCGCGCGCGUUCGUAUCGGCCGUUUGACCCGCACAGAAGCACCGUAGCUUAUACAAAAUAAUAUACAACCAUAACAACAAAAUGUACAUAUAUAAAAACUUCAUAAUAUACUUAAACUUCAGAGGUUUGCCCUUUGUUGGUUUAGUUGCAACUUGUUAAAACACAAGGUCAGUGAGCUCUCUUUAUAUAUAACUGGAGUACUACCUUUAAUCAAUUGCCCAAAUGAAAAGUCAAAGAUGGCUGAUAUUGAUUUGGACGCCAGUUUCGCUCCACUCAUACACUCUAAAACCUUCUGGUUUAUCUAGAAAUAACCCUAUGUGGGUUAACCUGAUAUUCCUGGUUCAAUAGGCAAUUCCAUCUUUUAAUUUAUGCGCGCAGGGGGAGGAUGGGAAGUAAGGCAUCAUAUUGCUGACUAUGCUAAAAAAAUAAAAAUGGCGGCCGUGUAAACACGGAGUGAUAGCUUAUACUUGUAAAUAUUGAAAUAUUUCGGUUGUUUCGGCAAUUUGUAUUGAAAUUUUUCAGCAUGAUCAGCAAUAUGAUACCUUACUUCCCAUAAUUCCCUGCGUGCAUAAAUUAAUAGCUGAAAUUGCCUAUUUGCUGGUUAUUUUAACCUUUUUCUUACUGUAGUAAGGUUAAUUUGACCAGGACUUGGGCUCAGGUUAUACAGUAUAUCCACCUAGGACGUCUUGGUCAAAUAUAACCAGAUCCAGGUUACAUUAACCGACUAUGGUAGGAAGCAGACCCUGAAAUAACGGUCGGACAUUUUCCGACCAAAUCGCAAUUUUUCCGACCAAAUUUUGUCCGGACAAAGAAUAUUGCAAUCAACCUUCUUGAAAGACUGGGUUAACCAUAAGCUGCAUGCGAUCCUCCCACAAAGAAUAAAUGCAAAAUAUUUAACUACACUUGCUAGUGCUUGGCAUGGAAUCGAAAAAAUGUCCAACCAAGUUUGAUAGUUUCCCAUCAAAUUUCAUUUUGGUUGGACAUUUUGCGGACAAAUUUUGAAUGUUAUUUCAGGCUCUGGGAAGUGAGAUAAAAUAACCAGAAUGACGUCCAAUACCUACAAUUUUACACUUACAUUAAAUACCUAAGAUAUUACUCUAGUUACAUAUAUAGAGCUCACUGUCAUAAGUAUACAUACGAUAAGAGCUAGGAGCUCAGCUCUGGGGUUGGUCAGCCUCGGAUUAGUGUUUGCUAUGUCGCUGAAACGCUGGGAAAUUGUGCUAAGUUAGGAAUGUCAAAGAGAUCACAAACGCCUUCUGAGCUUGUGAGGUUGAACGUGUAGUCGGAGUCACCAGCUGGCGGUGAGAGCUGUAAUAGUGGAGCAUAGUCU